This 759-nucleotide ribosomal RNA is filed under the name Platygyra lamellina. RNAcentral's name for it is "eukaryotic LSU rRNA". It matches the Rfam family "Eukaryotic large subunit ribosomal RNA", at positions 43 to 632 of the family's 3401-position model. The record is from RNAcentral. Lineage: Eukaryota; Metazoa; Cnidaria; Anthozoa; Scleractinia; Merulinidae.
UUAAUAAGCGGAGGAAAAGAAACUAACAAGGAUUCCCUCAGUAACGGCGAGUGAAGCGGGAAGAGCUCAAAUUUGAAAUCUCCGAUGCUUGCAUCGGCGAGUUGUAGUUGCGAGAAGCACUUUCUAGGCGGAUCGACGGUGCCUAAGUUGCUUGGAACGGCACGUCGCAGAGGGUGACAACCCCGUCUGUGGCGCCGCCGGCCGCCGACGAUGUGCUUUCGAAGAGUCGGGUUGUUUGGGAAUGCAGCCCAAAACGGGUGGUAAACUCCAUCUAAAGCUAAAUACUGGCGUGAGACCGAUAGCGAACAAGUACCGUGAGGGAAAGAUGAAAAGAACUUUGAAAAGAGAGUUAAAAAGUACGUGAAACCGUCGAAAGGGAAACGAAUGGACUCAGCAAUGCGCCCUCUGAGAUUCAGCCGGUGGGUGGCGGCGGCGCCGGGUUUGCGGAUCUGAAUGGACCGCGGCCUGGCGCCCGCCUCUCCCCGCCGUCGCACUUCUCUGGGGCGCGCGUCAACGUGGGUUGGGACUGGGUCUGAAAGGCGCCGGGAAGGUAGGUGUGGGCCUUCGGGUCCGUUCUGUUACAGCCCGGUUCUCUCAUGGCUCGGGCCCGACCGAGGAGCGACACGGGGCAUGCCUCCUGUGGCUAGGGUCCCGCCCUUCCGGCCGGCUGUCCAGUGCGGUGGACUGCUUGCAGUGCUCCGCGACGGCUGCCGGUCGUUGGGGUGGUGAUCUCGUACCAUGCCCCUAGGAUGUUGGCGG